AGGACGAACGCUGGCGGCGUGCUUAACACAUGCAAGUCGAGCGGAAAGGCCCCUCGGGGUACUCGAGCGGCGAACGGGUGAGUAACACGUGAGUAACCUGCCCCUAGCUCUGGGAUAGCUCCGGGAAACCGGGAUUAAUACCGGAUGUGACCUGUCCGCGGCAUCGCGGCGGGUGGAAAGUUUUCGGCCAGGGAUGGGCUCGCGGCCUAUCAGCUUGUUGGCAGGGUAAUGGCCUACCAAGGCGACGACGGGUA
This 254-nucleotide ribosomal RNA is filed under the name uncultured bacterium. RNAcentral's name for it is "partial small subunit ribosomal RNA". It matches the Rfam family "Bacterial small subunit ribosomal RNA", at positions 26 to 285 of the family's 1533-position model. The record is from RNAcentral.